CAGUCGAACGCGUCUUGGUUAUUGAUGUUAGAUGCUUGCAUUUAACUGAUUUAACAUUGAGACGAGUGGCGAACUGGUGAGUAACACGUGGGUAACCUGCCCUUGAAGUAGGGGAUAACACUUGGAAACAGGUGCUAAUACCGUAUAACAACCAAAACCACCUGGUUUUGGUUUAAAAGAUGGCUUCGGCUAUCACUUUAGGAUGGACCCGCGGCGUAUUAGCUUGUUGGUAAGGUAACGGCCUACCAAGGCAAUGAUACGUAGCCGACCUGAGAGGGUAAUCGGCCACAUUGGGACUGAGACACGGCCCAAACUCCUACGGGAGGCAGCAGUAGGGAAUCUUCCACAAUGGACGAAAGUCUGAUGGAGCAACGCCGCGUGAGUGAUGAAGGGUUUCGGCUCGUAAAACUCUGUUGUUGGAGAAGAACAGGUGUGAGAGUAACUGUUCACAUCUUGACGGUAUCCAACCAGAAAGCCACGGCUAACUACGUGCCAGCAGCCGCGGUAAUACGUAGGUGGCAGGCGUUGUCCGGAUUUAUUGGGCGUAAAGCGAGCGCAGGCGGUUUCUUAGGUCUGAUGUGAAAGCCUUCGGCUUAACCGGAGAAGUGCAUCGGAAACCAGGAGACUUGAGUGCAGAAGAGGACAGUGGAACUCCAUGUGUAGCGGUGAAAUGCGUAGAUAUAUGGAAGAACACUAGUGGCGAAGGCGGCUGUCUGGUCUGUAACUGACGCUGAGGCUCGAAAGCAUGGGUAGCGAACAGGAUUAGAUACCCUGGUAGUCCAUGCCGUAAACGAUGAGUGCUAAGUGUUGGAGGGUUUCCGCCCUUCAGUGCUGCAGCUAACGCAUU
RNAcentral lists this ribosomal RNA (847 nucleotides) under uncultured bacterium. Its description in RNAcentral is "bacterial SSU rRNA". It matches the Rfam family "Bacterial small subunit ribosomal RNA", at positions 30 to 861 of the family's 1533-position model. The record is from RNAcentral.